Capsicum annuum is the source of this 770-nucleotide long non-coding RNA. RefSeq lists it as uncharacterized. The record is from RefSeq and is a predicted model, not a curated record. NCBI's taxonomy places the organism in Eukaryota, Viridiplantae, Streptophyta, Magnoliopsida, Solanales, Solanaceae. The transcript has 2 exons.
UCAUGUUUGAUUUGUUAAUAUUGAAAACUAGUACACAUGCUAUAAUUUAAAGUGUGUGAUUUCGUGAUAUUAUAUAAAAAGAUUAUUUACUAUUAUACACUUAAGACUCUUUUUAGCAUUCAAUAUUUGCAAACCUAUAGGUUGUAAUAACCAGAUUUUUAAUGAGGGGUAAGUGGGUAAUUUAGUCAUUAUUAUUAUUAUUAAUUAAUAAAAUUAAAGUAGCCGGAUAAGUCAAAAUUCAAAACCCUCUCCCUUAUUCUGUUUUUCAAAAUUUCAAUUAUAAAAGGAGUAUAAUACUAGAGCUUUUCAAUCUUUUCAUUGCUGGAAAGAAAAAUAAGAAAAUUUUGUGAAAUUUGGGAGCGUUGGUAGACGAAAAUAAGUCCUUGAACCAUUGUCACGGCUGUCGAGUUACAGAUUGAAGCCAUUAGAGGUUAUCUGACCGGUGUUCUACGUAUUACAAAGUUGGGGAAUUCGUCAUUACAGAGUAUGCAGGCCCUGAAGGCACGGGAAGACUCAGAGAGAGGCUACUGAGCAUGAGAACUACUGCAGCCAUAGUUGGUCUAUCAGCAACAUUAUCUUGAACACACAAUAAAGCUAUGUGGAUGUAUCUCAUUAUGUCACGAACCAGUCCUGAGCUUCCCUUCAACAUGGGGUCUAUCAAAUUUGUGGCUGUUCCUUCACGCCAGUUAGUCCAAGCCUGUCACAUUUUAAUUCAGAGAUUAAGAUCUACACAUUGAUAAUCCAGCAUUGAGGUGUAGUUGAUUAAUUAA